UACGGAGGGUGCAAGCGUUAUCCGGAUUCACUGGGGUUAAAGGGUGCGUAGGUGGGCAGGUAAGUCAGUGGUGAAAUCUCCGGGCUUAACCCGGAAACUGCCAUUGAUACUAUUUGUCUUGAAUACCGUGGAGGUCAGCGGAAUAUGUCAUGUAGCGGUGAAAUGCUUAGAUAUGACAUAGAACACCAAUUGCGAAGGCAGCUGGCUACACGAAUAUUGACACUGAUGCACGAAAGCGUGGGGAUCAAACAGG
This 253-nucleotide ribosomal RNA is filed under the name uncultured bacterium. RNAcentral describes it as "partial 16S ribosomal RNA". It matches the Rfam family "Bacterial small subunit ribosomal RNA", at positions 524 to 776 of the family's 1533-position model. The record is from RNAcentral.